AGCGGAUGGAAGCAACAGAUGCGUGGGGGCUCGUAUGUGACAUCGCACGUAGUGAAUGUGCAGGCUAGUGGUGCCUUGGGGAGACCACAGCGACACCACUACUUUGGAUGGCGAGCUAGGCCCAACGAGCCAGAACCCCAGCUACAACUUCCUGCGGUCUGGUAGGAGGCUGCUGUGGCCUACACUCUCCCCCCCCUGGUUUUCAGUCCUCUGAAUCUCACUUCUGGGAUCUCAGUCUUGGAAUCUCAGUUCUGAUCAUCACACUUCCAAGUUCAAUCUGUUGCAGACUGUCAUGCGCAUUGGAUUUAUAUCAAUCAUGAAAUAGCAAUUUUAUGGACAUUGUCUGCCGGGGGUUGGAGGAGGUUGCUGCACCAUUGUGCAGCUGAUAUUUUACAAGCUUGAAUUAUGUUUUAUCUUUUCCUGUCUGCAGACUUUGUAAAUAUUGGUAUUUGGUAAUUGCACUUUAUUUUCACUGUAAAUAAUAACCGUAAUCACAAUACCUGUUGUGGUUGUACGUUUAUUAUACUUCACUCACCUCCCAGAGCCGAAUCUGAUAUCUUCUAAAUUAGGUCAACUACUCAUAACUAACUCAAUUUAUCUUAGCUUAUGUACUUGUUACAAUAAACUAUAGCAGUUUUUUUUUAUUAUGAUUAUUUAUUAUGGCAUUUAAAUAAUUGACAGAUACUAAAACAACUUAAAGAAGGAACUCACUGCUUGUUUCUAUCUGAAAGUGUUGAUGCUGAUGGAUUUGAAUAGUGAGUGUUCACUGCCCUCUAGUGGAUACAAUGAGAAAGUGUAUUGCCCCAUUGAAACAACUUGGACAGCGUUUUGGGACUGUCACCAGAGCAGUCUAACCUGUUCAUUGCUGGUUCAUCACAGCACAGGAAUGGUGUAUGUCUGAAAGCAGCUUUAGAUUAAAUGUAAUAGUCUAAAUUCAGAAAAGCAAAAAAGGAACCAACUGGUAUCAUUAUCAGUGACUACACUCAACCAUUUGCAAAACUGGUUCAGUGUAGCAUAUUAAAUAUGUAUUAUAUUGACAUAUUAUUGUAAAAAGCAACCAACCAAACAAACAAAGCUUUAAAUGUAAAUCUGAAAAAAAAAAACUGAUUCCAUUAUUUCUCUAAGCUCACCUCCAAAUUCAGAACAUUGUAGGACACUAUCCUCUACUGGAACUCAGCUGGAAGCACACUCCCAUGAAUGAAAAUCUCUGACCUACUGAGAUUGCUCUGCUGAAGUGCUGCUGAUCACCGACAAAUA
Long non-coding RNA from Oreochromis aureus, 1257 nucleotides. RefSeq lists it as uncharacterized. The transcript has 3 exons. The record is from RefSeq and is a predicted model, not a curated record. Lineage: Eukaryota; Metazoa; Chordata; Actinopteri; Cichliformes; Cichlidae.